RNAcentral lists this ribosomal RNA (464 nucleotides) under uncultured bacterium. Its description in RNAcentral is "bacterial SSU rRNA". It matches the Rfam family "Bacterial small subunit ribosomal RNA", at positions 917 to 1382 of the family's 1533-position model. The record is from RNAcentral.
GGGCCCGCACAAGCGGUGGAGCAUGUGGUUCAAUUCGACGCAACGCGAAGAACCUUACCCAGGCUUGAACAGCGAGUGACCAACUCCGAAAGGAGUCUUCCGCAAGGACACUCGUAGAGGUGCUGCAUGGCUGUCGUCAGCUCGUGUCGUGAGAUGUUGGGUUAAGUCCCGCAACGAGCGCAACCCUUGUUUGCUGUUGCCAUCACGUUAUGGUGGGCACUCUGCAAAGACUGCCGGUGAUAAACCGGAGGAAGGUGGGGAUGACGUCAAGUCAGCAUGGCCUUUAUGUCUGGGGCUACACACGUGCUACAAUGGCCGGUACAAACCGUCGCGAUGCCGUAAGGUGGAGCUAAUCGGAGAAAGCCGGUCUCAGUUCGGAUUGUCGGCUGCAACUCGCCGGCAUGAAGUUGGAAUCGCUAGUAAUCGCGGAUCAGCACGCCGCGGUGAAUACGUUCCCGGGCCUU